RNAcentral lists this ribosomal RNA (782 nucleotides) under uncultured bacterium. Its description in RNAcentral is "bacterial SSU rRNA". It matches the Rfam family "Bacterial small subunit ribosomal RNA", at positions 8 to 796 of the family's 1533-position model. The record is from RNAcentral.
AGAGUUUGAUCCUGGCUCAGAAUCAACGCUGGCGGCGUGCCUAACACAUGCAAGUCGAGCGAGAAAGGGGGGGCAACUCCCUGAGUAAAGCGGCGCACGGGUGAGUAACACGUGGGUAAUCUGCCCUGGAGUGGGGAAUAACACCGGGAAACCGGUGCUAAUACCGCAUACGAUAGCGAGGUCUGCGGAUCUUGCGAUGAAAGGAGCAAUUCGCUCUAGGAGGAGCCCGCGGCUGAUUAGCUAGUUGGUGAGGUAAUGGCUCACCAAGGCAACGAUCAGUAGCCGGUCUGAGAGGACGGUCGGCCACACUGGAACUGAGACACGGUCCAGACUCCUACGGGAGGCAGCAGUGGGGAAUUUUUGGCAAUGGGGGCAACCCUGACCAAGCAACGCCGCGUGGGUGAUGAAGUCUCUUGGGACGUAAAACCCUUUCGACGGGGAAGAAACCGCAAGGUUGACGGUACCCGUAGAAGAAGCCCCGGCUAACUCCGUGCCAGCAGCCGCGGUAAUACGGGGGGGGCUAGCGUUGUUCGGAAUUACUGGGCGUAAAGGGCGCGUAGGCGGUCUGCUAAGUUGGAUGUGAAAACUCUGGGCUUAACCCAGAGCCUGCAUUCAAUACUGACAGGCUAGAGUUCUGGAGGGGAUAGCGGAAUUCCUGGUGUAGCGGUGAAAUGCGUAGAUAUCAGGAGGAACACCGGUGGCGAAGGCGGCUAUCUGGACAGAGUCUGACGCUGAGGCGCGAAAGCUAGGGGAGCAAACAGGAUUAGAUACCCUAGUAGUCC